GGCGGCCUGACACAUCCUGACUCACCCUCCCUGCCUGCCUUUUCCAUUCAGACGGAGCCGGCUGCCUCGCAGGGCUCACGCCGCCGCCGCCGCCGCCGCCGCGCUCGGAGGAGGGCACGGAAGGAAAAGUUGGAAAAGUUGAAAAGGGAAAGGGGGGGGUGGUCGGAGAGGGGCUGGUGAGGUCAUUGGCGUCCCCUCCCUCCACCUCCUCGGCCGGCCGCCACCGGGGCAGACACAUGCAGCUCGAGAGCUGGGGCCUGGCUGCAGGCGGGGGUCCGGCUGGACCAGGACAGGCAGAGAGAUGGGGAGAGGUGGCCACGGGGCCACAAGACGCAGGCCUGGGGAGAUGGAGAGACUCUCAGGGACAAAGAAAGAGACCUGGAGAGACCGAGACCCAGGCGAAUAGACGGAGACACACAGAGAGAUGCGGGCACCGGAGAGAGAGGGAGAGUCUGAACACAGAGACAGAUAGACACACGCAGAGCUAGAGACAGCCACGGAGACACACUGCAGGAGCAGAGGGAAACAGCCGGCAGGGAGAGAGGGGAGAGGUCCCGGGAGUCAGAGAUGGAGAGCAAGAUGGAUAUGGCAGGAGAGAUUUGGAGAGACCCCCAAAAGGAAAAGAGAGGCAGGCAUGGCAGCAAGAGGGGAGGCAGGUGGCAGAAAACAGAGACAGGGUGACAGAGAUGGAGAGGCCCCAAGGAGUGGAGAGCCUCAGAGCGAUGGAGAUGCUGAGAUGACGAUGACCAGGAGUCAGUAGUGGGGACAGCGAUGGGAGCCCCUCUCCAAGAGACAGGCUGGGACUUGGUAAGAGAGAAGCCAAGGCAGAGACAGAGAGGUACCGAGACACUUGGCAGAGGUGGGACCUCGGGCACACAGCGUCCCCUCCCUGUGCCUCAGUUUCUCGGUCUGCGAAAUAGGGAUACCCGGGCACACCCCCCCCCAUAUGCUUGGGGGAGGAUAAAGUGAGUUCCCUCCUGUAAAGCAUACAGUAAAUGUGAACCAUUGCUCUUCUCGUCGGUGAUUUUUGCUAACACAUCUAAGAAGGCAGAGAAAAAGAUGCAGACCCUGGGAGAGAUGGAGAUGGUGAGACACGGAGAGAGCAGCCCGGCAGGGAGCUGAAGCCAGCGCAGGGCACUGAAGCCAGGGCAGGGCAGGAGAGCUCCACACAGAGGUGUGGCGAUGCGAUACAGAGAGGGGUUGGAGCAGAAGGGGGCCGGUGAUGCCAACACAGGCACGCUCAGAGCACCAGGUGUACGGAGCAGAGGUGGCCCCAGGACCCACGGCAGAGAGAAGGACCACUGAUAGAGGAACCCAAGUCCCCGGGAGCACCCCACCCCCAGGAUAAAGGUGGCAGAGAAGGAUGCAGGGGAGUGAGAAGACAAAAGGUGACCAGGACUUCCAAAGGUCUCCUGGCAGCCCCCGCUCCCCCCCCACUCUGGGCCCCUGGGGCUGUGCUGAGCUGGCAGGGGGCUCUGGGCAUGAACGGAGGCUGGAGUCAUCCCCCUCCCAUCCCCCACCACUGGGGGGGGCACAGCUCAGGUCCCCGGGGGAGGUGAGGUCACAGCCCCCCCAUGGUGGGACAUGACCUCAUCGCCUCAGGUAAGAGCUCUCUCUGCCUCUCUCAGUCUGUCAUGGUCACCCCUUCCAGGGCCCCCCAGGGGCCCUCCCCAGCCCCGCUCCUGCUGGGACCCAGGCCUCUGACCACUGGGUCCCCGCCCCUCAGGGGGCCUGUUUCCGGCUGAGUCAGCGUGGGGGGCCUGAGGCUGCGUCAGUGAGGGGAGAACUGACGUAGCCCCCCCCCCCCAGACCGGCAGGGCCAGCCAAGGUGACUCAGGCCACCAGCCUGGGGGAUGGACUGGCCUGAGGGGAUGGGGGACUGGGCCUGGGGCCAGCCUGAGAGCAACAGUAGGGAUCUGAUGAUGGCAGCCCCUUCCACCGCCAGGGAACCCGAAGUGGCAGCCCCAAUCCCAAGGCUUCAGCCUAGGAGUCCAAGACCCCAGAGCCUCCUCCAUCAGACCCAGGAGUCCAGCUCCUCACCCUCCUCCUCCAUCAAAUCAGGAAGCCCAGCGCUCAGCCCCCUACUUCCUUAGACCCAGGAAUCCAGGCCCCCAGCGCCUCCCCUGUCCCCUCUCAGACCCAGGUGUCAGGUGUCCACAGCCUAAACCCUUAUUUCCACAAAGAGAGAGAAGCUGUGGCCAUUCUGCAGUUUGGAGAACACCUGAAGGGGAAGGUCAGGCGUUGGGGCCCCUCCCCUGGGCAUGUGGGGGUCGCCUUCCCCCAGGGUGGCUGCAGCAGGCGGAGGGAGAUGUAGUGGGUGCAAGACAGGAGCGAGGGGCACCACUCAGGACCCUUAGGUCUUGCUCCAGGGGUGGGGACACUUGGGACACUUCCAUGGAAAGGAGGGCCAGAAGGAGGGCCGGAGGCAAGGUAAAGAGAUGCAGAGGCAGGAUAGGGAAUCAGAGGAGUGUCAGGAGAGGACAGUGACAAACAGAAAUCGAGGCAGGAGGUGGGAGCACAGAGACCAGAGUGAGAAAAGGACAGAGGUGCCGGCGGGGUGGUGGGGGACGGGGUGGGGGAUUGAGACCCACAGAGACACAAAGAGUCAAGCUCAGAGCCAAAGACUAGGGGGGACAUGGAGCUGAGGCUCUGAAGGGUGGUCACAGACACGGGGUGGGGGGGCAGGUAGGGGGAGACGCCACUGGGAUAUGACAGGGGGGACUCCAGGGGGCCCUUGCUCAUGUGCUGGCCCCUGGGUGAGGUGGAGCUGGCUAGUGUGAGGUCAGCAGGUCCGAGGCUGUGUGUGUCCGUCUGUCUGUCCCUGGGGGGUCCUGUCUGGCCUCUGGGGGGUGACGGGGCAGGCGGGCCGCAGAGGCAGCCCAAACCUGUCAUUAGCGGUGAGGGCCCUGACGGCGGGGGGGCCCCCCCCCAGUCCCAAGCCGCGGUCCAUGGCCCGGCGGCCCCGCCCCCCACCCCCUCCUUGAUCCCUGAGGAAUCCCGGGAAUUGGGAAGUGGGUCCAGAUGAUGUUGACACAGGAAACGGUCAGCAGCUGCCUGGCCUCAGCCCCACAACCCCUCUGACCCCCACCCCCGGCCCCCCGCCGAGCCCCCUGUGACCUGUGUCAUCUCUGACGAAGGCAGCCCAGGGCCCACUCAGCACCCGCCAGGAUGUUUACAGGAGAUGGGCAGGACAGAGUCAGCCUCACAAGGUUUCUUGAGAAAUGGGGUCUGGACUCCUGGACAGCUGCCCUCAGACUCGUCUCCUGCCCCUUGCUGCCUCAAACCAGGGGUCUGGGCCCCCAGCUCACCUCCUCCCUCAGACCCAGGGGUCCAGGCCCCUAGCCCCUCCUCCCUCAGACCCAGGAGUCUGAGCUCCUAGGCCCUCCACGCUCAGACCUGGGAGUCCCGACCCCUCAAACCCCCGCUUCCCUCUAAUCCGAGUGUCCACACCCCCAACUUCCUUUCCCUUAGACUCAGGAUCGGGACACAAAGGCACGCUGACCUAGGAGAGCCGAGCCCCCGCCUCACUGGCUGAAAGCAGAACGGAAGUCCAGGGAGAAAUGAGGGAUCGAGCUGUCAACUCAGCCUCCAUGUUGGCCUCCUCCCCCACCAUAGGGGGACACCAAACCAGAAGCUUGGGGACCUGCAGUUGGAUCCAUUUUUCUGUUUUCAGAUGGGAAUGGAAUCCAGGGAUUCUUCUAUCCAUGGAGCUGUGAGGGAGACGUGUGGGACAGAGAGAGCUGUGGGGGCCAGGCUGCAAUUGAGAACCCCAAUCUCUGUCUGCGACUACGAUGCUGCUACCGUGAUGGGGUCUGCUACCACCAGCGGCCUGAUGAAAACAUGCGGAGGAAGCACAUGUGGGCACUGGGCUGGACAUGCGGAGGCCUUCUCUUCCUGAUCUCCAGCAUCUGCUUGUUCUGGCGAGUGGGCUCAGGGCUCAGGGGGGGCUCCCCGCCCCGGGGGUCCGGUGCAGGUGGACGGGCAUGGCUGAGGGUGUUCGCUCCCUGCCAGGUGGGCCAAGCGACGAGAUA
Non-coding RNA from Sus scrofa (pig), 4031 nucleotides. The record is from RefSeq and is a predicted model, not a curated record. Lineage: Eukaryota; Metazoa; Chordata; Mammalia; Artiodactyla; Suidae.